AUUGAACGCUGGCGGCAGGCUUAACACAUGCAAGUCGAGCGGGGAAGGGUAGCUUGCUACCUGACCUAGCGGCGGACGGGUGAGUAAUACUUAGGAAUCUGCCAAUUAGUGGGGGACAACGUUUCGAAAGGGAUGCUAAUACCGCAUACGCCCUACGGGGGAAAGCAGGGGAUCACUUGUGACCUUGCGCUAAUAGAUGAGCCUAAGUCGGAUUAGCUAGUUGGUGGGGUAAAGGCCUACCAAGGCGACGAUCUGUAGCGGGUCUGAGAGGAUGAUCCGCCACACUGGGACUGAGACACGGCCCAGACUCCUACGGGAGGCAGCAGUGGGGAAUAUUGGACAAUCGGGGGAACCCUGAUCCAGCCAUGCCGCGUGUGUGAAGAAGGCCUUAUGGUUGUAAAGCACUUUAAGCGAGGAGGAGGCUCCUAUAGAUAAAACCUAUAGUGAGUGGACGUUACUCGCAGAAUAAGCACCGGCUAACUCUGUGCCAGCAGCCGCGGUAAUACAGAGGGUGCAAGCGUUAAUCGGAUUUACUGGGCGUAAAGCGUACGUAGGCGGCUAAUUAAGUCGGAUGUGAAAUCCCCGAGCUCAACUUGGGAAUUGCAUUCGAUACUGGUUAGCUAGAGUAUGGGAGAGGAUGGUAGAAUUCCAGGU
Molecule: ribosomal RNA, 654 nt
Filed under: uncultured Acinetobacter sp.
Lineage: Bacteria; Pseudomonadati; Pseudomonadota; Gammaproteobacteria; Moraxellales; Moraxellaceae
Description: bacterial SSU rRNA
Rfam family: Bacterial small subunit ribosomal RNA
Source: RNAcentral